Molecule: ribosomal RNA, 774 nt
Filed under: uncultured Neocallimastigales
Lineage: Eukaryota; Fungi; Neocallimastigomycota; Neocallimastigomycetes; Neocallimastigales
Description: partial large subunit ribosomal RNA
Rfam family: Eukaryotic large subunit ribosomal RNA
Source: RNAcentral
CGCAUCUGUGCAUGCAGCAUAUCAAUAAGCGGAGGAAAAGAAACUAACAAGGAUUCCCCUAGUAACGGCGAGUGAAGCGGGAAGAGCUCAAAUUUGAAAUCUUAAAGGGUUUCCCUUUACGAAUUGUAGUUUAAAGAAGUGUUUUCUGUUGAGGUUUUGGUAAAAGUUCUUUGGAAUAGGACAUCAUAGAGGGUGAGAAUCCCGUAUUUGACCUUUACCUUCAACUUUGUGAUACACUUUCAAAGAGUCGGAUUGUUUGGGAAUGCAGUCCAAAAUGGGUGGUAAAUUUCAUCUAAAGCUAAAUAUUGGCGAGAGACCGAUAGCGAACAAGUACCGUGAGGGAAAGAUGAAAAGAACUUUGAAAAGAGAGUUAAACAGUACGUGAAAUUGUCAAAAGGGAAGCGUUUGACACCAGUGUUGUUUUUCUGAAAAUCAACUAAAGAACUGUUUAUGCUAAGUUGUUUAGACUUUAUCAGCUAUCUGUUUAGUUUUGAGCUUUUCUUUAAUGCACUUUUCAGUUAACAAGUCAACAUCAAUUUCUUUUGCUGUAAAAAAAGCUUGAGGAAGGUGGCCUGAGAUUCGUCUUAAGUGUUUAUAGCCUCUUGCCUAUGCAGUCGGAGAGAUUGAGGUCUGCAGCGUAGAUCCUUCGAGGCUAAAUGCAUUUGUGCUAAGUUAUAGCAUUUUAUAGACAACUAGUUGACUAUGAUUUGUCUUGUAGCUUACUCGCUUAUGUUAUUUUACCUACGCUUAGGAUGUUGAGUCGUAGAGCACGCA